CACUGGAGGGGGGUUCCCUCAGCUCAGAUUGCGAGAGGGCACAGGCCAGGCCGAGGGACCUCACCGGUGUGUG
Molecule: microRNA precursor, 73 nt
Filed under: Myotis davidii
Lineage: Eukaryota; Metazoa; Chordata; Mammalia; Chiroptera; Vespertilionidae
Description: mir-9193 microRNA precursor family
Rfam family: mir-9193 microRNA precursor family
Source: Rfam by way of RNAcentral